This 1516-nucleotide ribosomal RNA is filed under the name human gut metagenome. RNAcentral's name for it is "bacterial LSU rRNA". It matches the Rfam family "Bacterial large subunit ribosomal RNA", at positions 445 to 1975 of the family's 2925-position model. The record is from RNAcentral.
AGCGGGGCCCAUCCCGUAAGGCUAAAUACUCCCGAGAGACCGAUAGCGAACCAGUACUGUGAAGGAAAGGUGAAAAGAACCUCGAACAGAGGAGUGAAACAGACCCUGAAACCAUGCGCCUACAAGCGGUCGGAGCAUGUUAAAAUGUGACGGCGUGCCUUUUGCAUAAUGAACCUACGAGUUACUCUCGCUGGCAAGGUUAAGCGAUUCAGUCGCGUAGCCGAAGCGAAAGCAAGUCCGAAUAAGGCGUACAGUCAGCGGGAGUAGACGCGAAACCAAGUGAUCUACCCUUGGUCAGGUUGAAGGUUGGGUAACACCAACUGGAGGACCGCACCGAUAAGCGUUGAAAAGCUUACGGAUGAACUGAGGGUAGGAGUGAAAGGCCAAUCAAACUUGGAGAUAGCUCGUACUCCCCGAAAUGCAUUUAGGUGCAGCCUCGAAGCAAAGUGAUAGAGGUAGAGCGACUGAUAAGAUGCGAGGGCUUCACCGCCUAUCAAGUCUUGACAAACUCCGAAUACUAUCACUUGAUCUUCGGGAGUGAGGGCAUGGGUGCUAAGGUCCAUGUCCGAAAGAGGAACAACUCAGACCACCAGCUAAGGUCCCGAAAUAAGGGCUAAGUUGAACAAACGAAGUAAAACUGCAAAGACAGCUAGGAUGUUGGCUUGGAAGCAGCCAUUCAUUUAAAGAGUGCGUAACAGCUCACUAGUCGAGGAGUUUUGCAUGGAUAAUAAUCGGGCAUAAGCCCUUUACCGAAGCUGUGGAUGUCGCAAGACAUGGUAGGGGAGCAUUCCGGCGGCGACGAAGGCCGUCCUCGAGGACGACUGGAGCUUUCGGAAAAGCAAAUGUAGGUAUAAGUAACGAUAAAGGGGGCGCGAAACCCCCUCGCCAUAAGACUAAGGAUUCCUGAUCAACGCUAAUCGGAUCAGGGUAAGUCGGGCCCUAAGGCGCAGCCGAACGGCGUAGCCGAUGGAAGAAACGGUAAAGAUUCCGUUACUGGAUAUAGGAGCGAUGUGGAGACGGAGAAGUGACACACCCGCCUGCCGACGGAAGCGCAGGUUAAAGGAAGUAGGUAAACGCCGGGUAGGCAAAUCCGCCUGGCGUGCCGAAACUGACAGUAUCGAGAGCCCCCGGGCAAUCGAAUAGCGGUGGUAAUCAGGCUCCCAAGAAAAUCCGCUAAGCAUAUUCUAUAUUCACCCGUACCCCAAACGGACACACGUAGUCGGGUAGAAUAUACCAAGGCGCUCGAAAGACUCACGGUUAAGGAACUAGGCAAAUUGACCCUGUAACCUCGGGAAAAAGGGUCCCCAGUAAGAUGGGGCGCAGAGAAUAGGUCCAGGCAACUGUUUAACAAAAACACAGGGCUGUGCAAAAUUUAGAGAUGAAGUAUACAGCCUGACACCUGCCCGGUGCCGGAAGGUUAAGAGGAGAGCUCAUCGCAAGAGAAGGCUUGAAUUGAAGCCCCGGUAAACGGCGGCCGUAACUAUAACGGUCCUAAGGUAGCGAAAUUCCUUGUCGG